CAAAAUCAUAACACUGCCCAAAUUAAAUACAAUUAAAUCCAAUAAAACUUGGGCCAAGCUUAACCCAAUUAUAGGGCCCAAUUAACCCACUAGCCUAAAACACAAAACAGAGAAACCUAGCAGCAAAAUCAGCAGCCGCGGCAACCUCACCCACGCCUCAACGUCGCCCCAUGUUCAGCACUUUGCGCACGUCCUCCACGACCUUCAUACCUGCGAAAAACUAAUCCAAACGGCAAUAGAUGUAAAAAUAACAUAAUAGAUUAUUAUUUUAUGGUUUAUUAUUAUUAUUUGGGGGUGGGAUAUAAAAGGGUGAUUUCAAUUGGUAAAAGGGGUGAGCAAUAUUGUAUGAAAAAAACAUUAAAGAAAAUACGAAAAUAAGGAAUCAAAAAGGCAAAUUUUUGAAGGUAAUUGUUCUGUUCCUUUUUUUCUUUUUAUUUGUUUUUCCUUUUUCCUUUUCUAUUUUGUUUAUUAAAACAAAAGCAGAAGAGGGAAAUAGAGGAGGACUUACAGUCGCAUACGGCGUUGAGGGAUCUUCAUUCCGUCGUCGGAAUGAGCGGAUCUGGAGCGGAAGAAAAGGGAGGCUGCGGCAAACUCAAAAAUGGCAGAGAAAGGGAAUGGCUUUAGGGUUUUAAAAUGGGAUUUUAUAAGGGUUCAAAAGGGGCCAUUUGCACGAUUGGUCCUUUGCUUUUUGGGGUUGUUUAAAUUAAAUUUAUUAUUUCUUUUAAAUUUUACUGCAUAUUUUAAUAUUGUUUCAAUCUAACCUGUGUUGUUGUGCAGCGUUUCGGAGGGAGGGAUUAAUUUCCCUUUUGAUCCUCCGCUGUCGAUUGUGUGUUCUAUUUAGUCCAUUCGCAUUUUAUUUUUAUUUUUAUUUUUUGUAAAUUUGCCCCAAAUAUGUUAUUUAAGUUUAAAUUAAUCCUUUUUUACUAUAUUAUAUUAUUCGUUAUUAUUGUAUUAUAUAUUAUUAUUACAUUUAUGUAUGUACACGCAUAUGUAGGUUAAUAUACAUAUAUGUAUAUGUUUUAAAUGAUUUUAAAUACAUAUGUAUACUUUAUAUAUCUUAUUAUUAUUUUAUUUUCAUAAUUUUAUAUGUAUAUAUAUGCGUAUAUCUAUUUAUAUUUUAUACUAUUCAUACUUUUUAUAUUUUACAUUUUAUACGUUUGUAUAUAUAUAUUUACAUACUAUUCUUUUAUAUUUUAAAUUUUAUAUUUUAUUUUAUUUAUAUAAUAUAUAUUCAUACACCAUUCAAAACUAUUAUAAGAAUUUUUUUUAUAUACCCAUAUAUCCAUAUUUUUAUAAUCUACUAAUAUAUUAUAUUUAUACAUUUUUAUGUUUAUUAUUUCUAAAAUGUAUAUAUAUUUUAUUAUUAAUUCAUUUUCGUGAUUUUUGUAUACGCAUAAAUGCACAAGCAUUUUAUCAUACUUUUAAAGAAAAUAUGUUUUGGUUUCGUUAGCAUUAAAAUUGUUUUUUUCUUAAAAAAUUAAAUAUUUGGCAAUCAUGAUUCUCGAGAAAGAUCGUGUCCUAACUUACUGGAUCGUGAUCAUUUUUUUCGAUGAAUUUAGCAAGCUAAGUAUUUAUUUCACAAUAAAUUUGCAAUUUUCAAAUAAAAGCUUAUUCUCGGGAAUGUAAAAUGUCGGGUCCUAACUUACUGGUCAUGACAUUUCGUCAUCUCGAAAUAAGAAUUUCUAAAACAAAAAGCAAUAUUCGGUAUUUUGAAGAUUUAAAAUAUUGUGCCCUAACUUCCUGGGUGUGGUGUUUUAUUUCUUUGAAAUGAGAAUGUUUUAUCAUUUUAAUACAUUCACGGGUUAAAUUUUUUCUCUCUUUUCAAAUUUUUGACACUAAGAUAUUAAAUAAUCAAUUUGGUACCAAUUUUGGGCGUUACGAGGGUGCUAAUCCUUCCUUGUGCGUAACUGACUCACGAGCCUGUUUUCUCAAAGUUCGUAGACCAAAAUCAUUUUUAAGGUGAGCCAAUCACACCUCAAUCAAGGAUCGGUGGCAACUCCAAUUUUUGUUUUUAAAGUCGAUAACUUAUUUUUGUUUUCAAAAAAAUGGUUUCGACAGCUUGGCGACUCCACUGGGGACCUUUUGAGAGUCGAGCCAUGAAUUGAUUAUCUUCUGUCUUUUAUUGUCGAAAAUCUAAAGUUGUUUUAAAACCGGAUUUUCCCUUUGCAUUCAUUAGUUUUAAUUGUCAUAUGCUUGUUUAGUUGGUUUAAGUCUGUUGGUUUAUUUGCAUUUUUGCAUUUCAUGGUCAAUUUUUACCCCUCUAAGUGGGAGUGAGAAACUAGUCCUUCGUGAGGUUUUCACCUCCGUGCAGGAUAGUGGAUCGCUUUCGGAAUACAUCUGUACCUGUGUCUUCGUGAGAUUUUCAUCUUCGUGCAGCCAUAGGGAAAUGUAUUUCCCUGAACCGAACUUGGUCCAUAUGAGCCUAUAAUGGGUGAGGAUCGAGGAAUCUGCUGGUUCAGGUACCCUUGCUCUAGAAGCCAAAACCUCAUAUAGUGAACCUUAGGAAUCCACCCUAGGUAGAAUUACUUUGAACCUUAGUAGAUACCUAAAUUAGGAGUUUUUACUAUUUCUUGGUUGUAUUGUAUUUAAUUGUUAUUGACUUUUUGUGUUUUACUCUGAUUGCAUGGCAUUAAAAUUAUCUGGCAUUCCAUUAUAAAGAGGCGUUGGUUCGUAUUCAGUUGCUAGACAGAAAGUUUAUCGUGGGAAAUGGGUUUCUUGAUAAAGUGAAAGAUAAUACGGCUGCCUGAAUAUAUUCCGAGAAACGCAAGAAGGGUGAUGGAGGAAUACAUGACUUUACUUCGUGCCUCAAGGUCAAGUUGAUUAUUCAAGAGUUUCUGACAUUCCAACUCCCUUAAAGAUGUUGAGGAGCAUUACGGGGAUUGGUAGACGUUGGAUCAUAACCAGGAUCAAGCAAAAAGGAGGUAGAAAAGAUACCCCUUUUGAAGAAUUUACAAGAUUUAUCUUAGCAUCGAGAUGAAGAAGGAGAAGAUGUCUUCGCCUGGAGUAUGAGGGCAAAGUCGUAUAUAUAUAUAUCCGCUUUAUGUAAAGAAAUUUGUCUUUUAGUAAAGUUUUCUAAAUGGAAUUGAAUUAGAAUCAACGUCUCUUUUUGCAUUCAUCUCAUGAAUUUGCAUUACAUUGCAUCAUAUGCACUAAAAUCCACCAAAAAAGCCUAAUUGAGUAAAAUUAUUUCAGUUAAUUUGGAAAACCAACAUCCUCACGGCAUCCAAGCAAAGACUAGAGAAAUGGACCAAAGUUUGAAGAAAUUAGAGCAAAUGCAAGUGCAGAUACAGGAGCAAUUGACCAAAUUUCAGCAAGAUAUGAUAGAUCAGUUGUUAGAAUUCCAAAGAAAUAUAAUGUGCCAGUUAACCCAAUUAUUGGCUAAAGGGUUAGAAAGAGGAAAGACCCCAGUGGCCCAUUUUGGGGAUAAUAAUGAGGACUCCACAUAUCAUUCAGGCUUCACCCCAACAAAUACCCAAGCACAACCAAAUGUAUAUCCACAAAGGGUAAUUGUUAACAUCCGACCCCAAUAUCAGACCAGCACCUCGACACCGGUGAAUUUCCAGAUUGGCUCAGGUUCCAACUCGAUAGGCAAUUCAACUAAUCCUAUUGUCAUUGAUGAUCAAGUAGAAACAGAACAGACGAGGGUGGAGUUCCUAAAAUAGUUUAAAGAUCGUUACAAACGGAAGGGGCGAGAGUGGAACUCUCAAAUCAAUACUUUAGAGGCCCCAAGGAAGAAGGGGAAUAAGGGGGAUAAUGUAGGCAGAUAUAACAAGGGUCACUCAAAACCAGUCACUGUGGGCUAGCCAAAGACAGAAAUCACCAGCCGUCAGAGCCCUUGAAAGCAAGAAUCUUACAUGAAGUCAAAUGCAGAAGGGCCUCAGUUUACACCUAUACCGAUUCAUAUAGCGAGCUAUAUCAAAACCUAUUUAAUGCACAUGUCGUGUCCCCCUUCUAUUUAAAACCAAUGUUGCCCCCAUUUCCUAAAUGGUAUAAUACAAAUGAUCAGUGUGAAUACCAUGCAGGAAUUACGGGGCAUUCGAUAGAAAAUUGCACCGCUUUCAGGAAAUUGGUUGAAAGGCUCAUCAACAUAGGCAUUGUCAAAUUUAAUGAUUCAUCCAGUGCAGAAAAUCUGCUACCCAAUCAUGAUUGAUAAUGGGGUGAAUGUGAUGUAUGAGGAAGUGUUGAGAGGUGUUCACAUCAGUGCCAUAUAUGAAGACACAAUUGAAAAGGGUCCUUUUUAGAUAUCUAUCCUUGUAAACUUGGGAGUGUCCUAAAUAAUCGGAUUGUAGAAGAAAUCUCUAUAGUAUUUAGAGCUUGCUUAGAGUAAUGUUCAAAACACACUUGUUGCUUUUAGCCUAGAGGCAAUAAGAAUUCCUUUGUGAAGUAGGCUCAUGUCUAAAUGUCGUUAUUUUAAUGAAAUGCAUCCUUGCGAUCAUUUUUGAACAGUAUUCUUUCAGUCUGUCUGAAUAGUUAUUCUUUCAUUCUUUUGGGUUUUCUUCCACAUCAUUCAUUCAUUCAUAAUCAUAUUGUACAGAUAAAUUUAUACAUUCUUUUGUAUAUUUUUUGGUAUUUAUUAUGGGCCCCCAGAUAUCAAUGACUUGAAUGACACUGCCACAGAUUUAGAAUCUCCUUUGGAGCAAGACAUGUGUUUAGAGGGAUCUCAUGACUUUGAAGAUGACAUAGAUCGUAGUCUAUCUCCAGACUUGUUGAGGAUGGUAGAGUAAGAAGUGAACAAAUUUACCUCAUGAGGAGACAAUGGAGAUUGUAACCUUGAGGGAACAUGCAUAACCGGAGAAACAAAGUAAGACCUUGUUGAGUUACCUUAAGGGUUCAAAGAUGUUAUCGCAUGGUCAUACCAGGACGUGCUCGAGUUAAGUACUGAUAUUGUAAUUUGAGCAACAGCACAACGUCAAAAAUUUGUAGUAUGUUCAAGAUUCACAUCAUGAACAAUGCAGUUAGAAUUCUUUGCUGGGGCAAUACCUUCUUCUCUGGCUUAUCUUGUUGAAGUCAAGUUGUCAUUUUUCCGUAUUUUUGUUGGAUUGCAUCCUAAUUGAGGAGGAAGAUCUAAAAUUUUCUCGUCAUGGAUAAAUUUCGCCCCAAAAGGCUCUAUGAGAGAAACCUGAUACCAAAGAAGAUCUUUCGCAUACAAAAUGAAAGUAGAAGAUCUUAUGGGGAAGACCUUAUCCGGAAUAAUAUUGAUUCUGAUAGAAAGGGAUGACUAGGACUUGCCUAAUACUAUGAGUGCAGAUUCAAUGCAAAAAAAAAAGAAACAAAAAACCUCUACCGGGGCAAUGUCUUCCUCUUUAGCUUAUCACGAUUUUUCCAUUAAAGUUAAAAUUCUUUCUCUUCGAGUAUUGGCUGAGCUGAAGUAGGAUGAAGAUCCAAUCUUGAUACGAUCAGUUGAACUUAAUUGAAGAAAAUUGGCUAAAAGCUAUUCGUCAUGGCCAGAUGUACCAAAAAUGGAUGAUGCGAGCUUACAACAAAAAAGGGUUCGUCCCAGAAAAUUUCAUGAGGGAGACCUGGUAUUGAAAAAGAUCCUUCCUUUACAAAAAGAUUUUAGAGAAAAAUGAAUGCCAAAUUGGGAAUGUCCUUAUGCUGUAAAGAAGACCUUUUCUGGAGGAGCACUGAUCUUGAGUGAGAUAGAUAGUAAAAACUUAUCUAAUCCUGUAAACUCAGAAGCAGUCAAGAAAUACUUCGCUUAAAGAAGGAGAGGACCACGGUAAAAACCUGCAAAAGACACUUUGAGUCGCAAAAAAAAAAAGAAAAUAAUAAUAAUAAUGGAAAAAUGAAAAAUGAAAAAUGGAAAAAGUAAAAAUGGAGAGGCUAAGGUGAAAACCCGCAAAGGGCGCCUUAGACCAAAGGAGAUUUGAGUUGAAAACUCGAAAAGGGCGGCUCAAAUUUUGAUCAGAAUAGGGCUGGAAGUGAUCAGAGUGGCUCAGAUUUUGAUUGGAUUGGGGCAUGUGGUGGUCUUGAUAUACCUGAAUCAGCAGGAAAGGGUAUGCGACAUCUUAGGGCAUCAACAGAGUAUUGUAGAUAUCCUAAACACAUGUCAAACUUAGAAUGGUCUUCAGGAAGUUUGUACAGAGAAGUUCAAGCUGCGUUAUCUAGGGCACCUAGUCUUCAUACUAUUUAUAUUGAAUUGUCUGUUCUUGGAAUACUUUAUUCUUUUUCAAGAUACGAGUCAAUUCCUCUCAUAUUCUUAAUAUUCUUGAUAAUAUGUUCAUUUCAUGCUAUGUUCUCAAACCAAUUCUAUCUUUUAUUUUAUUCUUUUUGCAAACGUGUUGCAUUAGAAUAAUGAUCAAUGGACUAAUAAAACUUUCAUAAGGGAAGUUUUGCAUAUUACUCUAGAAGUUUCUAAAUAAUACAGUAACCUGAAACAGGACUAUUAUUUAAAACGCACCAAGUUUAAAGGUUGAAAUAUCUGGGAAUGAAAGGUCUAAAUUGAGACUAUCCCUUCAGAUUUUGUUGUCAAAGCAUUGAUUGAACGAAAUGACAAGAUGUCGUGUCGGUGAUAAGGCUUCAAUGAACAAGCGAACAAUGAUCACCAAGCAAUAGGAAGAUGUUCCUCGAAGAAGAAAGCAUUCAUUUGUGCAUGAGCAUUUGGUAUGACACCUUGGAAAUGGUGUAAAGAAACAAAGAGUUUCACAUUCUAUAUCCUUGAAUUGCGAUAGGAGAGGAUUGAGAAAAGACCAGAUUCUUCUACCAUUGGGUUACAGCGAGAGAAAGAUGGUACCAAUGUUACAUCCCAGUAGAUUGAACUUUGAAGUUUACAGUGGGGGCAAGUUGAUUAAGUGUUUCUUCGGAGAUGCUAGCUAAGCAAGAGGACGUUCUAGUGCGUCAGUAAUACAGUUUCAAUAAACUUUGAGUAAUGAUAACCUAAGCUUUAAAGAGGGAUCAUUCUCGAAAAAUGACAUUUGGCACUCAUUCAAAUGUCAUUCAUACACGUCUAGUUAGGAACAUUUGAUUCAUUUUGAUCAUGACAUCCUAAUCACUAGGCAUAAUUAGGUUCAUAACUUGAAUUUUACAGGUCAUGUUCCCUAGAGAACAAACCGAUAAAACUUCAGCCUUAUCUUCUUGAACAGCAGUGGAGUAGGUUGAAAAUAGUAGAUUUUUAUUUCCUUAGCGUUGUAGCGGAGCAGAUUGAAGUCACAACGGCGGAUCUGGUUUCCCCGACAGCGCAAUUAAAAGAUUGAAGCCACAACGACGGAUCUUACUUCCUUGGCGAUGCAGUGGAGCAGAUUGAAGUCACAACGGCGGAUCUGGUUUCCCCGAUAGUGCAAUUAAAAGAUUGAAGCCACAACGGCAGAUCAUACUUCCUUGGCGAUGCAGUGGAACAGAUUGAAGUCACAACGGCAGAUUUGGUUUCCCCGACAGCGCAAUUAAAAGAUUGAAGCCACAACGGUGGAUCUUACUUCCUUGGCGAUGAGUGGAGCAGAUUGAAGUCACAACGGUGGAUCUUGUUUCCCUGACAGUGCAAUUAAAAGAUUGAAGCCACAACGGCAGAUCUUACUUCCCUGGCGGUGCAGCAGAGCAGAUUGAAGUCACAACGACAGAUCUGGUUUCCCUGACAGUGCAAAGAUUGAAGCCAAAACGGCAGAUCUUACUUCCCUAGCGGUGCAGCGGAGCAGAUUGAAGUCACAACGGCAGAUCUGAUUUUCCCGACAACGCAAGGAUUAAAGCCACAGCGGCGGAUCUUACUUCCCUGGCGAUGCAGUGGAGCAGAUUGAAGUCACAACGGCGGAUCUGGUUUCCCCGACAGUCCAAUUAAAAGAUUGAAGCCACAACAGCGGAUCUUACUUCCCUGGCGGUGCAGUAGAGCAGAUUGAAGUCACAGCGGCAGAUCUAGUUUCCCCGACAGCGCAAUUAAAAAGAUUGAAGCCACAACGGCGGAUCUUACCUCCUUAGCAGUGCAGUUGAACAGAUUGAAGCUACGACGGCGGGUCUUGUUUCCUCGACAUUGUAAUUAGAUAAAUUGAAUAAGAUAAUCCUAUCCCCCUGAAGAUGCAGUGGAGCGGAUUAACACCAUCGAUCUUACCUUUCUGAAAUUGCAGUAAAGCAGAUAGUAUCAUACUCAUCUUUGAAGUUGCAGUAGAAUAAGUUAAAGUUACGAGUCUUAUCUCCCUGAAGUUACGGUGGAGCAGACUAGAGAUUGCAAGUUUUGUUCUUUUGAAAAGCCACAAGAUACAAGUCCUAUCUCUUUGAUGUUGCAGUGGAGUGGAUUGAAGCAUUGAUUCCUAUACCUCUGCAGAUGCAGUAGAUUGGAACGAGGCUACUUGAAGAGCGCUAAGGUCCAGUAUGCCCGAGCAAAAUUGGCCAUCUUAAAGUUUUUGCUCUGUUCCCGUUACACGACAACGAGCAAAGAGGGGUAGCUGUAAUAGCCCAUUUUUUUCUGGCCCAUUCAAAAUAAGACCAACCCAAAAUCAUAACACUGCCCAAAUUAAAUACAAUUAAAUCCAAUAAAACUUGGGCCAAGCUUAACCCAAUUACAGGGCCCAAUUAACCCACUAGCCUAAAACACAAAACAGAGAAACCUAGCAGCAAAAUCAGCAGCCGCGAAAACCUCACCCACGCCUCAACAUCGCCCCACGUCCAGCACUUUGCGCACGUUCUCCACGA
Molecule: long non-coding RNA, 8616 nt
Filed under: Gossypium barbadense (sea-island cotton)
Lineage: Eukaryota; Viridiplantae; Streptophyta; Magnoliopsida; Malvales; Malvaceae
Description: long non-coding RNA (GBAR_LNC016537)
Source: RNAcentral